AUCCCUUUGUAGUUCAUAAGUGUGAUGACUGGGUUUUAACACUAAUGUGUAAGAUGUGCCUACCUUAAACCUUAUUAUGAGUUCAGUACAUUAGCUGUCUGACA
Nycticebus coucang (slow loris) is the source of this 104-nucleotide small nucleolar RNA. RefSeq annotates it as small nucleolar RNA U13. The transcript has a single exon. NCBI's taxonomy places the organism in Eukaryota, Metazoa, Chordata, Mammalia, Primates, Lorisidae. The record is from RefSeq and is a predicted model, not a curated record.